GGAGGCGAAUGUAGUCUGGUGGCUUCCCCGGUCUUCAAAACCGGUGACACAUAGUAAUAUGUGUGGUGGGUUCGAUUCCCAUCCGUCUCCGCCA
This 94-nucleotide transfer RNA is filed under the name Alphaproteobacteria bacterium. RNAcentral's name for it is "tRNA-Sec". It matches the Rfam family "Selenocysteine transfer RNA". Lineage: Bacteria; Pseudomonadati; Pseudomonadota; Alphaproteobacteria. The record is from RNAcentral. RNAcentral also lists the same sequence under 1 other name.